GAUGAACGCUGGCGGCGUGCCUAAUACAUGCAAGUCGAGCGAACGGACGAGAAGCUUGCUUCUCUGAUGUUAGCGGCGGACGGGUGAGUAACACGUGGAUAACCUACCUAUAAGACUGGGAUAACUUCGGGAAACCGGAGCUAAUACCGGAUAAUAUUUUGAACCGCAUGGUUCAAAAGUGAAAGACGGUCUUGCUGUCACUUAUAGAUGGAUCCGCGCUGCAUUAGCUAGUUGGUAAGGUAACGGCUUACCAAGGCAACGAUGCAUAGCCGACCUGAGAGGGUGAUCGGCCACACUGGAACUGAGACACGGUCCACACUCCUACGGGAGGCAGCAGUAGGGAAUCUUCCGCAAUGGGCGAAAGCCUGACGGAGCAACGCCGCGUGAGUGAUGAAGGUCUUCGGAUCGUAAAACUCUGUUAUUAGGGAAGAACAUAUGUGUAAGUAACUGUGCACAUCUUGACGGUACCUAAUCAGAAAGCCACGGCUAACUACGUGCCCGCAGCCGCGGUAAUACGUAGGUGGCAAGCGUUAUCCGGAAUUAUUGGGCGUAAAGCGCGCGUAGGGCGGUUUUUUAAGUCUGAUGUGAAAGCCCGCGGCUCACCCGUGGAGGGUCAUUGGAAACUGGAAAACUUGAGUGCAGAAGAGGAAAGUGGAAUUCCAUGCGCAGCGGUGAAAUGCGCAGAGAUAUGGAGGAACACCAGUGGCGAAGGCGACUUUCUGGUCUGUAACUGACGCUGAUGUGCGAAAGCGUGGGGAUCAAACAGGAUUAGAUACCCUGGUAGUCCACGCCGUAAACGAUGAGUGCUAAGUGUUAGGGGGUUUCCGCCCCUUAGUGCUGCAGCUAACGCAUUAAGCACUCCGCCUGGGGAGUACGACCGCAAGGUUGAAACUCAAAGGAAUUGACGGGGACCCGCACAAGCGGUGGAGCAUGUGGUUUAAUUCGAAGCAACGCGAAGAACCUUACCAAAUCUUGACAUCCUUUGACAACUCUAGAGAUAGAGCUUUCCCCUUCGGGGGACAAAGUGACAGGUGGUGCAUGGUUGUCGUCAGCUCGUGUCGUGAGAUGUUGGGUUAAGUCCCGCAACGAGCGCAACCCUUAAGCUUAGUUGCCAUCAUUAAGUUGGGCACUCUAAGUUGACUGCCGGUGACAAACCGGAGGAAGGUGGGGAUGACGUCAAAUCAUCAUGCCCCUUAUGAUUUGGGCUACACACGUGCUACAAUGGACAAUACAAAGGCAGCGAAACCGUGAGGUCAAGCAAAUCCCAUAAAGUUGUUCUCAGUUCGGAUUGUAGUCUGCAACUCGACUACAUGAAGCUGGAAUCGCUAGUAAUCGUAGAUCAGCAUGCUACGGUGAAUACGUUCCCGGGUCU
This 1372-nucleotide ribosomal RNA is filed under the name uncultured bacterium. Its description in RNAcentral is "bacterial SSU rRNA". It matches the Rfam family "Bacterial small subunit ribosomal RNA", at positions 28 to 1381 of the family's 1533-position model. The record is from RNAcentral.